UACGUAGGGUGCAAGCGUUAAUCGGAAUUACUGGGCGUAAAGCGUGCGCAGGCGGUUGUGUAAGACAGAUGUGAAAUCCCCGGGCUCAACCUGGGAAUGGCGAUGGAUACUGGCGCGCUAGAGUGCGGUAGAGGAGAGUGGAAUUCCCGGUGUAGCAGUGAAAUGCGUAGAGAUCGGGAGGAACAUCAGUUGCGAAGGCGGCUCUCUGGACCAACACUGACACUGAGGCACGAAAGCGUGGGGAGCAAACAGG
Molecule: ribosomal RNA, 253 nt
Filed under: uncultured bacterium
Lineage: Bacteria
Description: partial 16S ribosomal RNA
Rfam family: Bacterial small subunit ribosomal RNA
Source: RNAcentral